UAAUCAUAACGAAAUCAUUUAUUAUCUAUAUGUAAUUAUCACAUUUACAAUCCUAGAUCUUUGUUACAAGACGUAAAAAAAUCCUUUUUCAGUACUGGCAACGAUUCUUCGUCAAUUAAUGGCAACCUAUUUUCAAAGUUAGGGUACUUCGGAUGCCACCAAUCAUACACCAAUAUAUUGACAACUGUGUCAAUGACUACGGUACAUUCUGGAAUCACAUUCUUUGAAACGUUGUAGUGGCCAGUGUUAAAGCCGAGAUGUAGACGAUGGUGUCUGAACCCUUGUGAUAGCACCACACUCACGGAUGACAACGUCAUACCCAUUAAUGGCGGUACUUCGUAGAACUGUUGGCAUCUACCUGCAAAACUUGUGAAUCCACUUCUGGAUUUGCAUCGAUUCGACCGAGUUCUUCCAUGAAGUCUAACGAUUUGGCUCUUGUAUCGGCAUUGGAUUUCUUGAGUUUGAAAUAAACAAACCAGUAUGAUUGUGCCUUACAAUACCAAACAUUGACGCACCGUCUUCGAACCAACUGAUGAGGCUGACUCUCCUGGGUCGCUUGCUGUAAUAUCUUUUUUACAAACACGUCAUAUGUGUGAUACAAUGCUCUUAUAACUCUUUGUCGUAGUCCGUACAGUUUAUAACUGUUUUCAAUACGUAACUUUUCUGGAAGCUUUGGAUUAUUUUGACAAUAUCUCUUAUAUAAUGCACGCCAAAAUGAUUCGCGUUUCGUUAUUGCAUACGUUGCUUUGUUAAUUCUAGCAAAGUUACCGACCUCCUCUGGUUUAAUGUAAGGAGAUAUUAGGUACCAGACUAUCUCUGGGUACUCUAUAGCGGUGUCAUUGUUGUCCGUCUCGGUCUUAGAGAGAUUUCUCUUUUUUUUAUACACGAAAUUCUUUGUUCCAUCUGCAUUCAAUUUCUCGAUUAUAUCGAAAUCGUCAUCCUGAAGAUCCUCCCAAGUUUUCGCAGGAACAGCCUCAGUUUCCACUGACUUUUUAACUCUGCCUACUGGUUUCGGUGCGUUUGCAGAAUCAUUUAUG
RNAcentral lists this unclassified non-coding RNA (1037 nucleotides) under Melitaea cinxia (Glanville fritillary). RNAcentral's name for it is "misc RNA ENSMCXG00005011804.1". The record is from RNAcentral. Lineage: Eukaryota; Metazoa; Arthropoda; Insecta; Lepidoptera; Nymphalidae.